GACGAACGCUGGCGGCGUGCCUAAUACAUGCAAGUUGAGCGCUGAAGGUUGGUACUUGUACCCACUGGAUGAGCAGCGAACGGGUGAGUAACGCGUGGGGAAUCUGCCUUUGAGCGGGGGACAACAUUUGGAAACGAAUGCUAAUACCGCAUAAAAACUUUAAACACAAGUUUUAAGUUUGAAAGAUGCAAUUGCAUCACUCAAAGAUGAUCCCGCGUUGUAUUAGCUAGUUGGUGAGGUAAAGGCUCACCAAGGCGAUGAUACAUAGCCGACCUGAGAGGGUGAUCGGCCACAUUGGGACUGAGACACGGCCCAAACUCCUACGGGAGGCAGCAGUAGGGAAUCUUCGGCAAUGGACGAAAGUCUGACCGCGCAACGCCGCGUGAGUGAAGAAGGUUUUCGGAUCGUAAAACUCUGUUGGUAGAGAAGAAAGUUGGUGAGAGUGGAAAGCUCAUCAAGUGACGGUAACUACCCAGAAAGGGACGGCUAACUACGUG
This 497-nucleotide ribosomal RNA is filed under the name uncultured bacterium. Its description in RNAcentral is "partial 16S ribosomal RNA". It matches the Rfam family "Bacterial small subunit ribosomal RNA", at positions 28 to 507 of the family's 1533-position model. The record is from RNAcentral.